GUGCCAGCAGCCGCGGUAAUUCCAGCUCCAAUAGCGUAUAUUAAAGUUGUUGUGGUUAAAAAGCUCGUAGUUGAACCUUGGGCCUGGCUGGCCGGUCCGCCUCACCGCGUGCACUGGUCCGGCCGGGCCCUUCCCUCUGUGGAACCCCAUACCCUUCACUGGGCGUGGCGGGGAAACAGGACAUUUACUUUGAAAAAAUUAGAGUGCUCCAGGCAGGCCUAUGCUCGAAUACAUUAGCAUGGAAUAAUAAAAUAGGACGCGCGGUUCUAUUUUGUUGGUUUAUAGGACCGCCGUAAUGAUUAAUAGGGACAGUCGGGGGCAUCAGUAUUCAACUGUCAGAGGUGAAAUUCUUGGAUCAGUUGAAGACUAACUACUGCGAAAGCAUUUGCCAAGGAUGUUUUCAUUAAUCAGGAACGAAAGUUAGGGGAUCGAAGACGAUCAGAUACCGUCGUAGUCUUAACCAUAAACUAUGCCGACUAGGGAUCGGACGGUGUUAUUCAUGACCCGUUCGGCACCUUACGAGAAAUCAAAGUGCUUGGGCUCCAGGGGGAGUAUGGUCGCAAGGCUGAAACUUAAAGAAAUUGACGGAAGGGCACCACCAGGGGUGGAGCCUGCGGCUUAAUUUGACUCAACACGGGGAAACUCACCAGGUCCAGACACAAUAAGGAUUGACAGAUUGAGAGCUCUUUCUUGAUUUUGUGGGUGGUGGUGCAUGGCCGUU
RNAcentral lists this ribosomal RNA (721 nucleotides) under uncultured fungus. RNAcentral describes it as "SSU rRNA". It matches the Rfam family "Eukaryotic small subunit ribosomal RNA", at positions 564 to 1292 of the family's 1831-position model. Lineage: Eukaryota; Fungi. The record is from RNAcentral.